This 745-nucleotide long non-coding RNA is filed under the name Mus musculus (house mouse). RNAcentral's name for it is "long non-coding RNA chr16:73471718-73472463". The record is from RNAcentral. Lineage: Eukaryota; Metazoa; Chordata; Mammalia; Rodentia; Muridae.
ACUCUGCCAAGUCUGCUCCUGGGCAAGGACACAGAACUGGGUUCCUUUUGUCCUUCCAUCGGGGCCUCUAAAAAAAACCCUUGGAUCAGCAUAGCUCUCAUCAAUGAACAACUUUGUAAAAGGAGGUCGUGUUUCCUCUGGAAAGGUUUGCUUGACCCUUUGGAAGAAAGAAAAUCUUCCUGAAGAGAAAAGGAAACGCUCCACCUCACGUUGGCUUACGUUGGCAUCCUGUUUCUCUAAGCUCCAAGCGUUCCCGUGAAUGGCACUUACAGCUGUAGACUGGCCUUCGGUGAACUCGUUUGAACUUGGGCUCCCAGAACCGACCUAAGUGUUCAUACUGAUUUCUCCUUUCGCCCUGAAUGAAAAUUCAUCAUGCUCGUGUGACCUGAGCGACUAGGCCAUUGGACCACAUCUAGAAGACUUACCAGGUUAACUUGCUACAUUGCCCAUAUGGAAAACUUUAAAUCUUAACCAUUCCUGAGAGGAGACAUCAGCAUUUCCAUUCUCUAAUUUUUAUAGUUAGUAAAAGUCAAGUGAUUUUUAUUAUCUUUGCACUGUUUGAUUCAUGUGAAGUUCAUCCAUUUUUUGUCUUUGUUGAUCAAUAUUCUUACAGUACUUUAUAAUUACUUGUGAUUUGCAGCUUACGGUGUAAAAACAGUAAUUGUGUUUUAGUUGUUUUUCCUUCUAUUUCUUUUACACAUGCUAUAUUUUGGACACUGUCAGUAGUACCAAUAAUAAAUUGAAU